Nerophis lumbriciformis (worm pipefish) is the source of this 435-nucleotide long non-coding RNA. RefSeq lists it as uncharacterized. Lineage: Eukaryota; Metazoa; Chordata; Actinopteri; Syngnathiformes; Syngnathidae. The record is from RefSeq and is a predicted model, not a curated record.
UUCCUCUUCAGGCAGCAGACAUGAGGAGAAGAGCGGGAGUCGAGAGACCAAUUGACCGGAGUACAUUAACCCUCAGCUCUGCACCGUUGAGUUGAAUGUUGCUGCAACAAAUAUGACUUGGCACUACUAUAGUUAUGUCCUGCCCACCUGUGAAAGAGCUGAUGGACCUCUGGCCUGCUCUUCAUAAGCCAUCUGAGGUGUUUGCAAACCAGAACUUUCCUAACACAUUCUAUGCAGAGCUGGCUCGCCACACUCCUUGUUGAAUGGCCUUAUUUAGACAGAAAGCUUCCAGAACUGGAAAGACUGCAGCUGCUUUGGCUGACAUUUUCAAAGUCCAUGAUGCACAGGAAUGACAUGAUGUCCACACAAGGUGUACCACUGUUCUCCAUGCCCUUCCUGUCUAUCUACGAAAGGAUUUUUCAGGACAUGUGUGGU